UACGUAGGGACCGAGCGUUGUCCGGAUUCAUUGGGCGUAAAGGGUGCGUAGGCGGUUUUUUAAGUUUGAUGUGAAAUCCCGGGGCUCAACCCUGGAAUUGCAUUGAAUACUGAAGAACUAGAGAUCUGGAGAGGAAACUGGAAUUUACGGUGUAGCAGUGAAAUGCGUAGAGAUCGUAAGGAAGACCAGUGGCGAAGGCGAGUUUCUGGACAGAUACUGACGCUGAGGCACGAAGGCCAGGGGAGCAAACGGG
RNAcentral lists this ribosomal RNA (253 nucleotides) under uncultured bacterium. Its description in RNAcentral is "partial 16S ribosomal RNA". It matches the Rfam family "Bacterial small subunit ribosomal RNA", at positions 524 to 776 of the family's 1533-position model. The record is from RNAcentral.